CGUUUCUUAACAACACCUGCUGUUGCUCCGCCUGCAAAACCUCUGCAAAAUAUUUCUCAACCAGUGAGUAUUGCUUAGCUCAAAAUAGUAAUGCAUAGUGAAUAGUGUAAGGAAAAAAUCUUACUGGACCUCUAGCAAGAACAGUUUAGAACUGAUAGAGUUAUCCAGUAUAAAUACUGUAAAGUUAGCUUAGUUUAGGUUUCUUCCUGUAGUAACACUGGAUUAUUAAUAGAUGACCCUUACUGGACCUCUAAGAAGAACAGUUUAGAACUGAUAGAGCUAUCCAGUAUAAAGCUUGUUUAAUUAACCCAUUCAGUGCCAGUGCUCUCCACUUGACAAGUAAAAUAGUCUGGCAUUAGACGCAGUAAAAUAAUAAAGUAUGGCACGUCAGGGUGCAAUGCCAAGUGAAGUAAGUCGAUGUGUGCAAAAUAUU
Molecule: non-coding RNA, 433 nt
Organism: Paramuricea clavata
Lineage: Eukaryota; Metazoa; Cnidaria; Anthozoa; Malacalcyonacea; Plexauridae
Source: the annotation of a GenBank genome assembly